GUGAAGAUUUCAUUUUUGUGGUCACGUCAUUUUCUUCCUGCGGGUAGGGACUCAUGAAUUAAAAGGGGGGAGAUCACUGCAUGCAGGUAGAUAGAAAGUUUGCAGAUAUGUUUCAACCACACAUGGUAUAGGCAAAAUAAUCUGCAGAUCACUACUGGCCGGUUCUAAUGCAGUUUCAGAGCAGCAGCCUUCAUCUCAUUGUGUGGCUGAACCAUUGAGUUCUCUUGUGCUUCAUUGCUUAUAUUCUGUUCAGAUUUGUCUUAAUUCGUCAUUGGUGCUAUGCAGAUUUAGAAAGGACUCGAGCAGUUCCUGGACAACAAGAACUUGCUGACACCUUACAGCUGCUAGACUGGCAUGGUCCAUGCUAAUAGAAUCGCCAUGGCUUCUAGUAAUUCCGUAUAGCAUUUCUCCUAAAUAUGCUAGGCAAUGGC
RNAcentral lists this long non-coding RNA (431 nucleotides) under Setaria italica (foxtail millet). RNAcentral's name for it is "long non-coding RNA (SITA_LNC000960)". Lineage: Eukaryota; Viridiplantae; Streptophyta; Magnoliopsida; Poales; Poaceae. The record is from RNAcentral.